GACAGAGGCCCCAAGCGUUAGGCGGAAUCACUGGGCUUAAAGCGUGUGUAGGCGGACUUCUAAGUGCCUUGUGAAAUCCCACGGCUCAACUGUGGAACUGCUGGGCAUACUGGGAGUCUUGGGCCAUUCAGGGGCAACUGGAACAAGCGGUGGAGCGGUGAAAUGCGUAGAUAUCGCUUGGAACGCCGAAGGUGAAAACAGGUUGCUGGGGAUGUGCCGACGCUGAGACACGAAAGCCAGGGGAGCAAACGGG
This 253-nucleotide ribosomal RNA is filed under the name uncultured bacterium. RNAcentral's name for it is "partial 16S ribosomal RNA". It matches the Rfam family "Bacterial small subunit ribosomal RNA", at positions 524 to 776 of the family's 1533-position model. The record is from RNAcentral.